Molecule: ribosomal RNA, 734 nt
Filed under: uncultured bacterium
Lineage: Bacteria
Description: bacterial SSU rRNA
Rfam family: Bacterial small subunit ribosomal RNA
Source: RNAcentral
UUGGGCGUAAAGAGCUCGUAGGCGGUUUGUCACGUCUGCUGUGAAAAUCCAAGGCUCAACCUUGGACUUGCAGUGGGUACGGGCAGGCUAGAGUGCGGUAGGGGAGAUGGGAAUUCCUGGUGUAGCGGUGGAAUGCGCAGAUAUCAGGAGGAACACCAAUGGCGAAGGCACAUCUCUGGGCCGUAACUGACGCUGAGGAGCGAAAGCGUGGGGAGCGAACAGGAUUAGAUACCCUGGUAGUCCACGCCGUAAACGGUGGGUGCUAGCUGUGGGCCACAUUCCACGUGGUCCGUGACGAAGUUAACACAUUAAGCACCCCGCCUGGGGAGUACGGCCGCAAGGCUAAAACUCAAAGGAAUUGACGGGGGCCCGCACAAGCGGCGGAGCAUGCGGAUUAAUUCGAUGCAACGCGAAGAACCUUACCAAGGCUUGACAUAUAGAGGAAAAGUGCAGAAAUGCACUCCCCGCAAGGUCUCUAUACAGGUGGUGCAUGGUUGUCGUCAGCUCGUGUCGUGAGAUGUUGGGUUAAGUCCCGCAACGAGCGCAACCCUCGUCCUAUGUUGCCAGCACGUAAUGGUGGGAACUCAUGGGAUACUGCCGGGGUCAACUCGGAGGAAGGUGGGGAUGACGUCAAAUCAUCAUGCCCCUUAUGUCUUGGGCUUCACGCAUGCUACAAUGGCCGGUACAGAGGGCUGCAAUACCGCAAGGUGGAGCGAAUCCCAAAAAGCCGGUCU